Molecule: ribosomal RNA, 253 nt
Filed under: uncultured bacterium
Lineage: Bacteria
Description: partial 16S ribosomal RNA
Rfam family: Bacterial small subunit ribosomal RNA
Source: RNAcentral
UACGUAGGGCGCAAGCGUUGUCCGGAUUCACUGGGUGUAAAGGGUGCGCAGGCGGGUGGGCAAGUCAGAGGUGAAAUCUCACGGCUUAACCGUGAAACUGCCUUUGAUACUGCUCAUCUUGAGUCAGGGAGAGGUUGAUGGAAUUCCAGGUGUAGCGGUGAAAUGCGUAGAUAUCUGGAAGAACACCAGUGGCGAAGGCGGUCAACUGGCCCUCGACUGACGCUGAGGCACGAAAGCGUGGGGAUCAAACAGG